GCAUAUCAAUAAGCGGAGGAAAAGAAAAUAACAAUGAUUCCCCUAGUAACGGCGAGUGAAGCGGGAAAAGCUCAAGGUUAAAAUCUCCAAGGUCCCUUUGUUUAUCUUGGCGACAUGUAAUCUAAGGAUUGUGGUUUGGUCUGUGGGUAUGAAAGCAAUUAAAGCCAGUUGAAUCUGGCACCAUUGAGGGUGAAAGUCCCGUUUAUGGUUGUUUUCAUGUUCACUAUUGUACCCCAUUUUCCGCGAGUCGGGUUGUUUGGGAAUGCAGCCCUAAAUGGGAGGUAAAUUUCUCCUAAGGCUAAAUAUUUGCAAGAGACCGAUAGCAUACAAGUACCGUAAGGGAAAGGUGAAAAGUACUCUGAAGAGAGAGUGAAAAGUACGUGAAACUGUUGGUAGGGGAAACGUUUGCACAGCACACUUGUUGCAUAGUAGCCUCGGCUAUGUGUAUUUACAGCCUUGCACCAAUUUUCUUUGCUGGAAAAAACCUGCUAGAAUGUAGGGAGCCAUCAGGCUAGAUUUAUCUAGUCCGGUUUCUGUUAUAGCCAGCAGGCAAUACAGUGGAUGGAGAUUGAGGAAUGCUAAGCAGCGCGGUUUUCGAACUGUGCGGUCCCUCCUUGCCCCCCAUGGCUAGACCUCUGGUUAGACAUUUCUAUGACUACCGGAGGGCUAACUUUAGCCUGGACCUUGGGUAGGGGUUGUAGGAACAAAUGCUUAACGGAUGCAGGGAAGUGUUGAACAAUCGACCCGUCUUGAAACACGGACC
RNAcentral lists this ribosomal RNA (763 nucleotides) under Orphella sp. NS-18-W6. RNAcentral describes it as "eukaryotic LSU rRNA". It matches the Rfam family "Eukaryotic large subunit ribosomal RNA", at positions 38 to 667 of the family's 3401-position model. Lineage: Eukaryota; Fungi; Kickxellomycota; Orphellales; Orphellaceae. The record is from RNAcentral.